Molecule: long non-coding RNA, 401 nt
Filed under: Glycine max (soybean)
Lineage: Eukaryota; Viridiplantae; Streptophyta; Magnoliopsida; Fabales; Fabaceae
Description: long non-coding RNA (GMAX_LNC001988)
Source: RNAcentral
UGCCAUCAAUUGCUGACCCAUGGUUCCAGUAUCUUGAUAAAAAAAAAUUGAUGGCUGGAGAUGAAGUUGUCUUCUACUUUCGGUUUUAUGACCAUGCAUGGGAGCUUUUGAUCAGAAUAGAAAUUGAAUGGGAGGAGGAGGACAUCCACCUUGAAGACUGACUUCUUUUCAUCUGCAUGGAAUCGUGAUAGCAAAUUUACUGAAAUUAAACUUGGAUUGAAGAAACAUUAACUGCCUCCUCAUAUAUUCAUAUACAUUUGAUUUUAAAUAUACCAGUUUCGUGAUUUAAAAUUUGUUCUUAAUAAGCAUCUGAGUCUUUUUGUUCACAUAAUAUUUAUACCACUAACAGUACAGUUCCAGCCCGUGCAUCAGCACGGGAUGGAAAUAGGAAUGGAAGGGGA